GAUGAACGCUGGCGGCGUGCCUAAUACAUGCGAGUCGAGCGAACAGACGAGGAGCUUGCUCCUCUGACGUUAGCGGCGGACGGGUGAGUAACACGUGGAUAACCUACCUAUAAGACUGGGAUAACUUCGGGAAACCGGAGCUAAUACCGGAUAAUAUAUUGAACCGCAUGGUUCAAUAGUGAAAGACGGUUUUGCUGUCACUUAUAGAUGGAUCCGCGCCGCAUUAGCUAGUUGGUAAGGUAACGGCUUACCAAGGCAACGAUGCGUAGCCGACCUGAGAGGGUGAUCGGCCACACUGGAACUGAGACACGGUCCAGACUCCUACGGGAGGCAGCAGUAGGGAACCUUCCGCAAUGGGCGAAAGCCUGACGGAGCAACGCCGCGUGAGUGAUGAAGGUCUUCGGAUCGUAAAACUCUGUUAUUAGGGAAGAACAAAUGUGUAAGUAACUAUGCACGUCUUGACGGUACCUAAUCAGAAAGCCACGGCUAACUACGUG
RNAcentral lists this ribosomal RNA (497 nucleotides) under uncultured bacterium. RNAcentral's name for it is "partial 16S ribosomal RNA". It matches the Rfam family "Bacterial small subunit ribosomal RNA", at positions 28 to 507 of the family's 1533-position model. The record is from RNAcentral.